This 462-nucleotide ribosomal RNA is filed under the name uncultured bacterium. RNAcentral describes it as "partial 16S ribosomal RNA". It matches the Rfam family "Bacterial small subunit ribosomal RNA", at positions 28 to 507 of the family's 1533-position model. The record is from RNAcentral.
GACGAACGCUGGCGGCGUGCUUAACACAUGCAAGUCGAGCGGAAAGGCCCUUCGGGGUCCUCGAGCGGCGAACGGGUGAGUAACACGUGAGUAACCUGCCCCAGACUUUGGGAUAACCCUCGGAAACGGGGGCUAAUACCGGAUACGACACAGCUUCGCAUGGGGUCUGUGUGGAAAGUUUUUCGGUUUGGGAUGGGCUCGCGGCCUAUCAGCUUGUUGGUGGGGUGAUGGCCUACCAAGGCGACGACGGGUAGCCGGCCUGAGAGGGCGACCGGCCACACUGGGACUGAGACACGGCCCAGACUCCUACGGGAGGCAGCAGUGGGGAAGAUUGCACAAUGGGCGGAAGCCUGAUGCAGCGACGCCGCGUGAGGGAUGACGGCCUUCGGGGUGUAAACCUCUUUCAGCAGGGACGAAGCGUAAGUGACGGUACCUGCAGAAGAAGCGCCGGCCAACUACGUG